CCUACGGGUGGCAGCAGUGGGGAAUAUUGGACAAUGGGGGGAACCCUGAUCCAGCCAUGCCGCGUGUGUGAAGAAGGCCCUCGGGUUGUAAAGCACUUUCAGUGAGGAAGAACGCCUGGUGGUUAAUACCCAUCAGGAAAGACAUCACUCACAGAAGAAGCACCGGCUAACUCCGUGCCAGCAGCCGCGGUAAUACGGAGGGUGCGAGCGUUAAUCGGAAUUACUGGGCGUAAAGCGCGCGUAGGUGGCUUGAUAAGCCGGUUGUGAAAGCCCCGGGCUCAACCUGGGAACGGCAUCCGGAACUGUCAAGCUAGAGUGCAGGAGAGGAAGGUAGAAUUCCCGGUGUAGCGGUGAAAUGCGUAGAGCUCGGGAGGAAUACCAGUGGCGAAGGCGGCCUUCUGGACUGACACUGACACUGAGGUGCGAAAGCGUGGGUAGCAAACAGGAUUAGAUACCCCUGUAGUC
RNAcentral lists this ribosomal RNA (465 nucleotides) under Vreelandella stevensii. Its description in RNAcentral is "partial 16S ribosomal RNA". It matches the Rfam family "Bacterial small subunit ribosomal RNA", at positions 338 to 795 of the family's 1533-position model. The record is from RNAcentral. Lineage: Bacteria; Pseudomonadati; Pseudomonadota; Gammaproteobacteria; Oceanospirillales; Halomonadaceae.